GGACAAUAGAGCGGGUUCUUAAGCGCGAAGGGACAAGGAAUGGAAACUCCAGACGCCUUCCUCUUUUAUUAAUCUUUGUGUCUCUCCACCUCUCCUGGACUCCGCUAAAGACCUCCUCUGAUGCUAAGCUGUGGCCGGGAGGUGACCUUGUGUAGGGGGAGAGCAACCUUUUCCCCAGGCUGAGCUGAAUUAAAUUGCAAGCCCUGGAAGAUGUGUCUGCAAAACUAUUCUGUCAAAUUUAUGAGCGUGUUGUUCCCUUGGUGGAAUACCAGGCUUCACUGCCGCUGACAAGUUGCUAAUCAAAGUCUCUUUCUUCUCAAGAGACAGAGAGAGGACUCCCACCAGGACCACUGCAGGGAGGGAGGGACAUCCAAAAUGCAAUGAUUUGUGCCUUCGACCUAAAGGAGGGUCCCUCAAACAGCUGACCUAUUCUUCACAACAGCUGGACUGGGAUCAGAAAUAGGAGUGUAAAUCCAAAUGGAGGGAGUUGGUGAUUAACAGUCAAGCUGCUUGGCCUCAUAGCUCUGUGCCUGUUACUACCGCUGCUUGAUGUGUGCACAUAAAGUGUUGCUUUGCUUAAUCAUCUCUUCUUGAAGUUCCUCCACUCUCCUGCAAAGAAGUUCUAUGACUAGUAGUUCAUCCAAAGCUCCUCAUAUCAUCAUUUGAAGUUCUGAGCAGCCACUGCGGCUCCUCCCGCAGCUCCCCACGGCAUCCAGCAGGUGGUCUUCCUCUGUCUUCCCCUGCAGCUCUCAACCAGCAGUAUGGCAGUACUAUAUGGAAGCUCCAUAAGUAAAGCUCCCCUCUGUUCCAUAGCUGGAGGAAGGACAAAAUUCCCA
Molecule: non-coding RNA, 836 nt
Organism: Phascolarctos cinereus (koala)
Lineage: Eukaryota; Metazoa; Chordata; Mammalia; Diprotodontia; Phascolarctidae
Source: RefSeq, a predicted model, not a curated record